AGCCAAUGUCUUGACCUGUUACCUGUUUACAGGUAACCAAUGUGUUACCUUUUCCCAUCAAUGUAAUGCUUUUUUAGUGUUUGAAUUAAAUGAAAGGCUGAAAACUUUGAUUAAUUCUUUGUAUUGUAUCCUGUGUUCCGUUCUUUAGAGUACUCGAGUAGCUUUAGACCACCUGGAGUCUGUUCCUGAGAAACUGAGCCUGUUAGAAGAUUUCAAAGAUUUUGGAGAGUCACAUUGCCGCAGGGAGAUGAUAGAAGAACGGUGUAUGAAAUAUAAAGAUAUAGUGAGUUCCCUACAGCAGCAACUGGAAGAUUCAAAAAAAAGAGUCCAACAGUUCAAGGUGGCUGCUCCCUCUUCUAGUUGGCGAACUCAAAGCAGCUUUUUGUCCAGCUCACUGCUUUCAGAUUCAGGUUGUAAGUAUUGUUUCACAGAAAAAAUCCACAACAAAAAUUUC
RNAcentral lists this long non-coding RNA (454 nucleotides) under Apteryx owenii (little spotted kiwi). Its description in RNAcentral is "lncRNA (ENSAOWG00000008124.1)". Lineage: Eukaryota; Metazoa; Chordata; Aves; Apterygiformes; Apterygidae. The record is from RNAcentral.